Molecule: ribosomal RNA, 455 nt
Filed under: uncultured bacterium
Lineage: Bacteria
Description: bacterial SSU rRNA
Rfam family: Bacterial small subunit ribosomal RNA
Source: RNAcentral
AGAGUUUGAUCAUGGCUCAGAACGAACGCUGGCGGCAGGCUUAACACAUGCAAGUCGAACGGUUGUAGCAAUACAGCAGUGGCAGACGGGUGAGUAACACGUGGGAACCUUCCUAGGGGUACGGAACAACUCAGGGAAACUUGAGCUAAUACCGUAUACGUCCGUGAGGAGAAAGAUUUAUCGCCCUUAGACGGGCCCGCGUCGGAUUAGCUAGUUGGUGGGGUAACGGCCUACCAAGGCGACGAUCCGUAGCUGAUCUUAGAGGAUGAUCAGCCACACUGGGACUGAGACACGGCCCAGACUCCUACGGGAGGCGGCAGUGGGGAAUCUUGGACAAUGGGCGCAAGCCUGAUCCAGCCAUGCCGCGUGAGUGAAGAAGGUCUUCGGAUUGUAAAGCUCUUUUGCCAGGGACGAUAAUGACGGUACCUGGAGAAUAAGCCCCGGCAAACUUCGUG